Molecule: ribosomal RNA, 229 nt
Filed under: uncultured bacterium
Lineage: Bacteria
Description: partial 16S ribosomal RNA
Rfam family: Bacterial small subunit ribosomal RNA
Source: RNAcentral
UGCGUAGGCGGAAAAUUAAGUCAGUAGUGAAAUCCCACAGCUUAACUGUGGAACUGUUAUUGAUACUGGUUUUCUUGAAUAUAGUUGAGGUAGGCGGAAUGUGUAAUGUAGCGGUGAAAUGCUUAGAUAUUACACAGAACACCGAUUGCGAAGGCAGCUUACUAAGCUAUGAUUGACGCUGAGGUACGAAAGCGUGGGGAGCGAACAGGAUUAGAUACCCUGGUAGUCC